This 1709-nucleotide long non-coding RNA is filed under the name Marmota monax (woodchuck). The record is from RNAcentral. Lineage: Eukaryota; Metazoa; Chordata; Mammalia; Rodentia; Sciuridae.
CUUCAGAGCUAAAAUACUGUAUUAAAAAGUUUUGAGCCUGAGGGAUAUGGAAUGGAAGAGAGAAUUCUGUAUUGUAACUGCUCUUCUGUACUUUUGGAAUGCAAGUAUUUAUUUCCUUCCCAAAAUUGAAAUGGAGAAAUUUUCAUAAGCAAGUCAGUAAAAUAUUUGAUUCUAAUGUUUUUCUUUAACACAUUUUGCCUUUCUGAAUACUUUUGCGCAUGGAGCUAGACAGAUGUGAGGAAUUACAAGUGACUUAGUUAACCAAACAUGCACCAGUCCCCUGAUGGACCCUUGUAAUUUAUUUUAGACAGUUGUCUAAAUGUAGCACAUUUUCUGCUCUCAAUCCAGAAUGGCUAAAUUUAUGGUCUACUCUCACUUGACAAUUGUGAUUCUGAUAUGUCCUUUCUGUUGAGUAGUGAAUUUUACCUUUUGGAUCAUCCAACAGAAGUGGUGGGUGCCAUUUGUUCAUUUGGUCUGGCUGAGUACCGUGCUCUGCUUUGGGCACCGGAGCAGGGUCUCCAGGCUGUGGGAGACCCAUCCAGGGCCUGGCACGGGAGGGACUGGCCUGUAUUUCAAUCUGAAAAUGAGACAGAAGUUGAUGUUUUGGUGCUGCUGUGAAUGUUGUCGAGUUGUUCCAACUCCUUACUGGUUCCUGGAUAUGACAUUUCUGUAACAAUGAUCUUUCAAAAAUGCACCACUUGAAUACAGCAGUAUUCUUCACAUUUUUGUCUUUGUUCUCUUUACAAUCUUUACUCUCAGCAUGCUUUGAUCGUAUAGCAUAGGGCGCCAUGCUUGACAAAUGCCUCAUGAAUUUAUAGCUUUCCAUGUUGCAAAGACUCUGGAAGUUUCUUCUCACAUGGCUGCAAGUUUGUCCUUGGAGUUGACAUUCCGGUAUUUCCUCCACCAUUUCUCCUCUUAUUGGUUACUUAGGAUUUUUCCCCCAGUGCUGAUAAUUGAGCCCAGGGCCUGGAACAGGCUAGGCAAGGGCUUUACCACUGAGCCACCCCUUCAGCCCUCUAAUGCUUGAGUUUUAGAUUUCUUGAAAUUCUUGAGUUAAAGGGAAUAAAAUUUUAGUAGCUCUUGAUAUGUGUUACCAAAUUCCUUUUCAAAAAGAUUAUACCGAUUUACAAUACCAGUUCAAUGUCUCGCAAGAGUUGUUUUCCGACCAUGUGAGGAUUAUUUUGCGGUUUAUUUUCACAUAUCUGUACCUUUCCUCUCCAGGCAAAAACAACACCACCUGAGGGUAAAGGAGGAGUAAACACACAUGCACCUGUGUUUGUGUUUACUGUGAACGCCUGAGCCUCAGGUACUGAAUUCUAUAGAUAACCUCUCACUGAGAAACACGAAAAUAACCAGUUCAGGUCCAGGCCUCAAGCGUGGAGUGAGUUCCUAUUUGAAAGCCCAGUUCUGUAGAUUUUUUGUCACAAACAAUCUUGAAUAGUAAAGUGGGAACUAUGACUCUCUGUUUCUGUGACUGCAGGUGUCUAUCCAGAUAUGGGAAGCUUCAGGGAAGGGUUCCUGUUCCUCUGAUGACAUGCAACCAGCGAGGGGCUGGUACAGGGAGCAGACGUGGGACCCACACACACAUGGAGGAAAUGGUUUCCUUCCACCCUGCUGUCAGCCCCCUUUAUGAAGGAAUUCUACCAUCCCUGGGAGCCUCUGAUUAGAAGGCCACACACAUUUAGAUUUUAGAGAGUUUUCCUGAGAAC